This is a long non-coding RNA of Salvia splendens (bonfire salvia), 2974 nucleotides long. RefSeq lists it as uncharacterized. The record is from RefSeq and is a predicted model, not a curated record. NCBI's taxonomy places the organism in Eukaryota, Viridiplantae, Streptophyta, Magnoliopsida, Lamiales, Lamiaceae. The transcript has 4 exons.
CAAAACCCUAAUCUCUCUACCUUCACCAAAUGUUCGAAACGACAACACGAUGACUCCUCACCACUCUCAGUUGCCGCUGACGCGAUAUGGGACACGAUGGGUAAGGUGGCGAAACGGUGGAUGAGUCGGCGAGCAACAUUGUUUCGAUUUGGUCAAACCCUAGCUCUCUAUCUGCUCCAUCCUACUCCGAAACGACAACAGCUAGCCGACAACUCCAUCCCACUCCAAAAAGGUGAGGACACUACCACCUGGAUAACACAACCUCCAUUCCAAACCCUGCCAAAAUCGAAAAAAUAACAUCCCCCGUCGGAACCGGGUGAAAAAGGUAACGCUCCAAGCGGCCUCCGUGACUCUGUCGUCUCCUGCUGCGAAGGUUGAUUCGCCCCUUUGGCUUUUAAAUUUCCGAAUUGGCUAAUUCAAUAUCCUCAUCAAACCCGCCGCCUAGCUCCUCCUUACACCGUCUGCCUUCUUCGCCAUCUCCAAGAUUCCAACAACAAGAAGAUGUUUUCAAAAACUUUUUGCCGCCACUGGCCAACAAGCAUCAGGUAAUGGGUGCUCCAUCUCUAUAUCUUGUCCAGUCAAUCCCACACUUAGUUUAUGUAAUCAGAUUUUCGUCCAUGAAUACUGAUUUCGCAGAUUGGUGAAUGAAUUUAUUUGAUGGUGAUUUUUUCAUUUGCGCAGUAGAAUGCGACUAAUGUUUCUUUGUAAUUGGUAUUUAUAACGAACCAACACUUCCUUGGAAAGUCGUUAUGGACAUUGUUUUUGCUAAUUUUUAAAACAAUUCUGAACCGUUUUAGUGGCUUGACACUUCUUUUGACAUUGGUUUUGCAAAUUUUUAAAAUCAACUCUUUUACUAAAUAAUUGAAUUCAUUUUCAAAAUCUGAAUCAUUUCAGAUACUUCUUUUGAGAAGCUGCCUAUGUGCUAUCUUUUUUUUGUUUUUUUGGCAUGUUUUGUGUUGCAUUUCUUAUUUCAAUUUUAUUUCAGUUGUGUUGCGUUACUUUUUUAAUUCUUUAUUCACUCUCUAAUAUUUAUAUAAGUUUAUAUAUUUUGUCAUUUACACCAGCAUUGUUUUAUAUUGUUUCAAAAAAUUUAAAUAUUUCAUGUCUAAUUUACAUUUUUAGGAAAUAUUUUAGUUUCAAUAAAUUAUCUUUGCUUUGCUCAAAAUUUACUUUUUGCUGAAGAAUUUCAAGGGACUCAAUCUUCACAAUAUUUGAAAGAGCUUUUGGCAAUCUGCACAGAUUUGAAAAAGCUUUUGAUAUUUGGAAUCAAGAUUUACUUUUUGGUUGGAGGUUUCUGACAGCUAUAGAUGGAGUACUUUAUAGUAGGUUUUUAAUAACACCUGUGAUAUGCAUUGUCGAAUAAAAUUCUUGAAAAAUAGAUAUAAAUAAUAGAAACAAAAACCGAACAAAAUCAUAUAUUUCUAAAAAUAAAAAAGUUCAUUAGUUCUGGGGACUAAAAAAAAUAUUUUCAAAACCAGGUACAAAACUUAGAAUUAAACACGUAAAAGAUGGAUCGCCAAUACCCAAAAUUCUGCAAACAAAAAUAAAUGGAUAAAUUUAAAAAUAAAUGUAUAAAACAUAAAAAAUCAUGUAAUAAAAAAUAACACCCAACUAUAAAAAAAAUAAUCUGAUAAUUUAAUAACUAAAACAUGUACAAACAAAAUGUACAACCUGAUUAAGUAAAUAUGAACUGGGCCAAACUAAAUAAAACCACAUUGGGCCACAAAAAUAACAUGGCUCGAAUCCUGAAUUGAAACUCAGCCCAAAAGCAAAUACCAUAAGCCCAACUCUCAAAUAAAAUUUAAAACUAGCAUAAGCCCAAUUCCUAAUGAAAGCUGAUUAACUAAUUAACUAAAUCACAAAAUAAAAAAUUUAACUAUAAUUAACAUCACUAAUUAAAGGCACAUAAGCUUAUCUACUUCCCAAACACACUGCCACUCAACCACCGUUUCCAAACCCUAACCAAUCAAAACCUAAUCCGAGCGCAGCCGGUGAUUACGAAGACAAAGUCUCCACCGCUUGAAUAAAUGGCGACACCGAGUAAUCGUCAAACUGCUGACUGCGGUUGUUCCAAUUUUUCACGGCGGCAACAACGCAGCGACGAAAUACGCAACAAUACAAAAAAUACAGAUCGAAGGAAAUCCAACACCGUUUCGUCUAAAACAUCCAAGCCGGCAUACAUCUUGAAAAUCCUAACUCCGAUUGGCUGAAACUAUGUCCGGCGAAGAAAUCGGCCAAAACUGGUACAAACUUCACCCACAUAAGGAAACAGAAGGAUAUUCUCAAACACCAACUUCUCAUAAAUUCAACUGAUGUCAAUCAAGGUAUUAGCCGCCACCCUAUGCAAAAAAGAAGAGCCACUUUCUGCAGCAAAAAAGAGUGAAGAUGAUCAAAAUAAAAAGCAUGGCACACAAUCGUUAUAAAGAGAAUACAUGUCACAUGGAAUGCGUGGGAAGUUGGAGCGCAACUCCAUCUCAUCAACAAAUAUUGGAAGAUCUCCUUAGAUAAACACAAAAGAUUGAAGCUGCCGAAGAAAGAGAAAAAUAUAAAUACCAGCAUUGGAAAAAGGCAACAUACAUAUUUUCAAGACAACACCAUCAACACACAUAUUUUCAAGACAACAUCAUUAAUGACAGCAAUUUUCGAAGUACAAAUGUAGAAUACCAAAAAUAGUAACAAAAAUGCAUGAAAAAAGCCAAAGAAAAAUAAAAUAAAAUAAAAAUAAAAAUGAAACAACCUCAUCCCCCCCCCCCCCAAAAAAAUAGUGCCACAUGGCAGGCCAAAAAACUGACACUUUAUAUUUGUAUAGUUAUAAUCUUUUCUCUCUAUUUAACACACAAAAUAAUAUCUUCUAAAUUUCGUGUCAUUCCUAAAAGCAAAACGAGCUUUGUGAGAAGUUGGGAUUUAUUUUUCAUGUAAGAAGCUAGACUCGCAAUCCUAUUCGUAGAAUAUAUGAAAUCAGUAUUCGCAUCUC